CCACAGCAUGACGGAGGAGCGCGGUGUGGAUUUGAGCGGCGGUUUGGAGGAUGUUCCUGUUUUAUGUGAAGCUCUGACACGUCCGACAUUCAAGUCAGAUGUCCCUGGAAUCCCCAUGACAACCGGCGGUGUGUACAGGAGGUGAUUUGGACAGAGACUGGCUGAUUCGGGAGGCGCGCGAAUGCCGAUCUCAGAUCUGCCCGGCAGAACGGCUGCAAACAAGAGCGGCUCCUCUCCAGCUCUGUCACCUAGCAACCGGCACUUAAUCACAGGAGGUGAACUUCCCUGCAAAACUCCCUGUGUACCCCCCCCCCCUGCCCAAAAUCCAACACGAGAAUAAGGAAAAUGAAAUGUGUUCAGAGCAGGAGGGUGUUUUAGUCAGGAUGUGAUUGGAUUUUGAGAGGCGCAGCGGUUCUGCUCUGGCCUUUGCUAAAUAUCAUUUUCAAUGAAAAUGUUUUCAUUGUUGGUACUCGGUGGAGUUGUCGUAAUAUAAUCUUCUCAUACCAAAAGUGACAGGUACUCACGUUUUGCUGUGUUCCCUUUAAACCACACUUACUGUGGUUUGAAAACCUGCCCAGAGCCUUUUAGUCAUAAACCCUUGAACUUUUCCACACUUUUUUUCCAGAUUGCAGCUACAACCUUUUGUGUCUUUUAUUGAAAUUUAAUGAAAUAGACCAACACAUAGAAGUGCGUAAUUGGGAAGUGGACAAUUGUUUUCAUGAUUUGUUUUAAAAAAAAAAAAAAAUCUGUGUGGUAUGCAUUUAAGUCAGUACAGCUGUAUGUGUUCAACCAGUUUAAAGAUUGAAAUUGUUGUUCAUUCUUCAUAAUACAAAGAACACAAUGGACAACGCUGAGCAUCCUCCUUAUGAGACUUUUACACAACUAUAAUGUCUUUCAGUCAGAGACUUCAUCAGACUUGCUGGAAUACAGACUGCUACAGGAGAUCUUUCCUGCCCAAAGACAUAAGCAUCAACUUUAACUUUCUCCACGACAUUUUAUACAGUGUGUUUUGUUUUGUUUUUAUGAUGCUGUUUGUUCACUGAAGUUCUCUUUACGAAUCUUUAGAGUCUUCAGAUUACAGCUGGAUUUCGACUGACAUGAAAUUACACCAACUCUGUUCAUUAAUAAGGUGGCUUCUGUUGGUACCGGAUUCAAUUUAAUAAAUUAUAAACCUAACUGAAUUUGCUUGGAGCUGUAAGAACUGAAAUCCAGGAAUGGCCGCAUUAAAAAAAAAAAGCAAUUAAUGCAUCACAUGAAAUGAUCGUAUGGCUAAAUAUUAAUUGAUUGGGCUUAAUCAAACUUUGCCACUAUGUCUUUUCAAACUACGUUUCAAAGGGGUACAGAUGACAAGAUGCAGCUUGAUUAUGUGUCACAUUGAUAAAGGGCCCUGACUAUUUCGGGGUGAGUGACCAGCGGAGAAAUUACUACUUUCAGUCGAUUUGUUCUAAACUGGAGCACGUCUCUGAUGAGGGAGCAGAUGUCCUUGCCUUGAAUCCUGCAGCCAAAUUAAAAAAAGAAAAAAAAAAACUGAAGGCUUAUUUUCAGGGUCUCGGCUGGCGAA
Molecule: RNA transcript, 1561 nt
Organism: Xiphophorus hellerii (green swordtail)
Lineage: Eukaryota; Metazoa; Chordata; Actinopteri; Cyprinodontiformes; Poeciliidae
Gene name: histone-lysine N-methyltransferase SETMAR-like
Exons: 2
Source: RefSeq, a predicted model, not a curated record